RNAcentral lists this ribosomal RNA (1275 nucleotides) under Escherichia coli. Its description in RNAcentral is "bacterial LSU rRNA". It matches the Rfam family "Bacterial large subunit ribosomal RNA", at positions 1413 to 2671 of the family's 2925-position model. The record is from RNAcentral. Lineage: Bacteria; Pseudomonadati; Pseudomonadota; Gammaproteobacteria; Enterobacterales; Enterobacteriaceae.
AGUCGAUGGGAAACAGGUUAAUAUUCCUGUACUUGGUGUUACUGCGAAGGGGGGACGGAGAAGGCUAUGUUGGCCGGGCGACGGUUGUCCCGGUUUAAGCGUGUAGGCUGGUUUUCCAGGCAAAUCCGGAAAACCAAGGCUGAGGCGUGAUGACGAGGCACUACGGUGCUGAAGCGACAAAUGCCCUGCUUCCAGGAAAAGCCUCUAAGCAUCAGGUAACAUCAAAUCGUACCCCAAACCGACACAGGUGGUCAGGUAGAGAAUACCAAGGCGCUUGAGAGAACUCGGGUGAAGGAACUAGGCAAAAUGGUGCCGUAACUUCGGGAGAAGGCACGCUGAUAUGUAGGUGAAGCGACUUGCUCGUGGAGCUGAAAUCAGUCGAAGAUACCAGCUGGCUGCAACUGUUUAUUAAAAACACAGCACUGUGCAAACACGAAAGUGGACGUAUACGGUGUGACGCCUGCCCGGUGCCGGAAGGUUAAUUGAUGGGGUUAGCGGUAACGCGAAGCUCUUGAUCGAAGCCCCGGUAAACGGCGGCCGUAACUAUAACGGUCCUAAGGUAGCGAAAUUCCUUGUCGGGUAAGUUCCGACCUGCACGAAUGGCGUAAUGAUGGCCAGGCUGUCUCCACCCGAGACUCAGUGAAAUUGAACUCGCUGUGAAGAUGCAGUGUACCCGCGGCAAGACGGAAAGACCCCGUGAACCUUUACUAUAGCUUGACACUGAACAUUGAGCCUUGAUGUGUAGGAUAGGUGGGAGGCUUUGAAGUGUGGACGCCAGUCUGCAUGGAGCCGACCUUGAAAUACCACCCUUUAAUGUUUGAUGUUCUAACGUUGGCCCGUAAUCCGGGUUGCGGACAGUGUCUGGUGGGUAGUUUGACUGGGGCGGUCUCCUCCUAAAGAGUAACGGAGGAGCACGAAGGUUGGCUAAUCCUGGUCGGACAUCAGGAGGUUAGUGCAAUGGCAUAAGCCAGCUUGACUGCGAGCGUGACGGCGCGAGCAGGUGCGAAAGCAGGUCAUAGUGAUCCGGUGGUUCUGAAUGGAAGGGCCAUCGCUCAACGGAUAAAAGGUACUCCGGGGAUAACAGGCUGAUACCGCCCAAGAGUUCAUAUCGACGGCGGUGUUUGGCACCUCGAUGUCGGCUCAUCACAUCCUGGGGCUGAAGUAGGUCCCAAGGGUAUGGCUGUUCGCCAUUUAAAGUGGUACGCGAGCUGGGUUUAGAACGUCGUGAGACAGUUCGGUCCCUAUCUGCCGUGGGCGCUGGAGAACUGAGGGGGG